GAAACAUUAUGGAAGGAGAAAAGAAAUACAGAGUUUAUUGGUGAUGUUUCUGCUAGAUUGGCUUGGAAAGAUCUAACAGUAAUGGUUACUCUUAAUAAUGGUGAAACACAGAAUGUUCUAGAAGGACUUACUGGUUAUGCUGAACCUGGAACUUUUACUGCGUUAAUGGGUCCUUCUGGUUCUGGAAAGUCUACUCUUCUCGAUGCUCUCUCUGGUCGUCUUGCUUCGAACGCUUUUCUAUCCGGCAGAGUUUUGCUUAAUGGACGUAAAGCUAAUCUCUCUUUUGGAACUGCGGCAUAUGUGACGCAAGAUGAUACGUUGAUUGGGACAUUGACAGUUAGAGAGACGAUAUCGUAUUCUGCUAGACUACGCCUUCCUGAUCGGAUGCCAUGGUUGGAGAAACGGACGUUGAUUGAGAGUACUAUUAUUGAAAUGGGACUUCAGGAUUGUGCUGAUACAGUUAUUGGAAACUGGCAUUUACGUGGUAUAAGUGGAGGAGAAAAAAGGAGAGUUAGUAUCGCGCUUGAGAUUCUUAUGAGGCCUAGAUUGCUCUUCCUUGAUGAGCCAACUAGUGGUCUUGACAGUGCUUCGGCGUUCUUUGUUACACAGACACUACGUGGUCUGUCGAGAGAUGGAAGGACUGUGAUAGCUUCAAUUCAUCAGCCGAGUAGUGAAGUAUUUGAGUUGUUUGACAGAUUAUAUUUGCUUUCUGGAGGCAAAACAGUUUACUUUGGUCAAGCUUCUGAAGCAUAUGAGUUCUUUGCACAAGCUGGAUUUCCUUGUCCUGCUCUAAGAAAUCCAUCAGAUCAUUUCCUACGAUGUAUCAAUUCUGAUUUCGACAAAGUUAAGGCAACUCUAAAGGGGUCGAUGAAGCUACGGUUUGAGUCCAAUGAGGAUCCUCUUGACAAAACAACGACAGCUGAA
RNAcentral lists this unclassified non-coding RNA (924 nucleotides) under Hevea brasiliensis (rubber tree). Lineage: Eukaryota; Viridiplantae; Streptophyta; Magnoliopsida; Malpighiales; Euphorbiaceae. The record is from RNAcentral.